Molecule: ribosomal RNA, 477 nt
Filed under: uncultured bacterium
Lineage: Bacteria
Description: partial 16S ribosomal RNA
Rfam family: Bacterial small subunit ribosomal RNA
Source: RNAcentral
GACGAACGCUGGCGGCGUGCUUAACACAUGCAAGUCGAACGGUAAGGCCCUUCGGGGUACACGAGUGGCGAACGGGUGAGUAACACGUGGGUGAUCUGCCCUGCACUUCGGGAUAAGCCUGGGAAACUGGGUCUAAUACCGGAUAGGACUCCUGGCUUCAUGGUUGGGGGUGGAAAGCUUUUGCGGUGUGGGAUGGGCCCGCGGCCUAUCAGCUUGUUGGUGGGGUAAUGGCCUACCAAGGCGACGACGGGUAGCCGGCCUGGGGGGGUGACCGGCCACACUGGGCCGGAGAAACGGCCCAGACUCCUACGGGAGGCAGCAGUGGGAAAUAUGCACAAUGGGCGCAAGCCUGAUGCAGCGACGCCGCGUGAGGGAUGACGGCCUUCGGGUUGUAAACCUCUUUCAGCUAUGACGAAGCGCAAGUGACGGUAGGUGCAGAAGAAGGACCGGCCAACUACGUGCCAGCAGCCGCCGUAA